CCUACGGGAGGCAGCAGUGGGGAAUAUUGGACAAUGGGCGAAAGCCUGAUCCAGCAAUGCCGCGUGAGUGAUGAAGGCCUUCGGGUCGUAAAGCUCUUUUACCAGGGAUGAUAAUGACAGUACCUGGAGAAUAAGCUCCGGCUAACUCCGUGCCAGCAGCCGCGGUAAUACGGAGGGAGCUAGCGUUGUUCGGAAUUACUGGGCGUAAAGAGUACGUAGGCGGUUAUUCAAGUCAGAGGUGAAAGCCCGGGGCUCAACCCCGGAACUGCCUUUGAAACUAGAUAACUAGAGUCUUGGAGAGGUUAGUGGAAUUCCGAGUGUAGAGGUGAAAUUCGUAGAUAUUCGGAAGAACACCAGUGGCGAAGGCGACUAACUGGACAAGUACUGACGCUGAGGUACGAAAGCGUGGGGAGCAAACAGGAUUAGAUACCCUGGUAGUCCACGCCGUAAACGAUGAUAACUAGUUGUUCGGUCACUUGGUGACUGAGUGACGCAGCUAACGCAUUAAGUUAUCCGCCUGGGGAGUACGGUCGCAAGAUUAAAACUCAAAGGAAUUGACGGNUGAAGACGUGCGAGAGACGACGAGGAGAGG
RNAcentral lists this ribosomal RNA (592 nucleotides) under uncultured bacterium. Its description in RNAcentral is "bacterial SSU rRNA". It matches the Rfam family "Bacterial small subunit ribosomal RNA", at positions 338 to 945 of the family's 1533-position model. The record is from RNAcentral.